UGGGGAAUUUUGGACAAUGGGCGAAAGCCUGAUCCAGCAAUGCCGCGUGUGUGAAGAAGGCCUUCGGGUUGUAAAGCACUUUUGUCCGGAAAGAAAUCCUUGGCUCUAAUACAGUCGGGGGAUGACGGUACCGGAAGAAUAAGCACCGGCUAACUACGUGCCAGCAGCCGCGGUAAUACGUAGGGUGCAAGCGUUAAUCGGAAUUACUGGGCGUAAAGCGUGCGCAGGCGGUUUGCUAAGACCGAUGUGAAAUCCCCGGGCUCAACCUGGGAACUGCAUUGGUGACUGGCAGGCUAGAGUAUGGCAGAGGGGGGUAGAAUUCCACGUGUAGCAGUGAAAUGCGUAGAGAUGUGGAGGAAUACCGAUGGCGAAGGCAGCCCCCUGGGCCAAUACUGACGCUCAUGCACGAAAAGCGUGGGGGAGCAAACAGGAUUAGAUACCCCUGGGUAGUCCACGCCCUAAACGAUGUCAACUAGUUGUUGGGGGAUUCAUUUCCUUAGUAACGUAGCUAACGCGUGAAGUUGACCGCCUGGGGAGUACGGUCGCAAGAUUAAAACUUAAAUGAAUUGACGGGGUCAUAGCUGUUUCCU
RNAcentral lists this ribosomal RNA (590 nucleotides) under uncultured bacterium. RNAcentral describes it as "partial 16S ribosomal RNA". It matches the Rfam family "Bacterial small subunit ribosomal RNA", at positions 355 to 1375 of the family's 1533-position model. The record is from RNAcentral.